Molecule: long non-coding RNA, 291 nt
Filed under: Nicotiana benthamiana
Lineage: Eukaryota; Viridiplantae; Streptophyta; Magnoliopsida; Solanales; Solanaceae
Description: long non-coding RNA (NBEN_LNC040840)
Source: RNAcentral
UCCUCGAAAGGUCAUAACUUCACGUGGCCUUGCCACAUCACGCGAUCCUAUCCAAACACCAUUACCCAUGAAGCACCUCAAGUCACCAUGCUCAACACGAUCUACACGCGCAGAUUGAGGUCUGAAACCUCGCAGUCCACCACACCCACGGUGAACCAAGUAUUAUACACUAUUCAAUCCUGAAAAGGACACGACCGGUGCGCUAUUCUCCGAGCAACAACCCAAUACGAAUUUUCCUAGGAAACCAGGAAGCAAGGCAUACAAAGUAACAUAUAGAAAACUAUUCCCCAC